Neodiprion fabricii is the source of this 585-nucleotide long non-coding RNA. RefSeq lists it as uncharacterized. The transcript is spliced from 3 exons. NCBI's taxonomy places the organism in Eukaryota, Metazoa, Arthropoda, Insecta, Hymenoptera, Diprionidae. The record is from RefSeq and is a predicted model, not a curated record.
AGCGAGCGCCGGCCCCGCGUCUCGUCAUCGUCGUCAUCAUCGUCGACGAUGUUCCCCGCCGCGGUGGAAAACCAGCCUGCGCGCGGCGGCUAGCUGGAAUCUUUGAGAAUACCGAGCCGACAGAGACGCUGGAAGAACGUGAUAAGGCGCGAUUCGUUGUCCAUAGGAUGUACAGCAGGGUAAGGGAGCUUGCAGGAAGGAGGAAGAAGGAGACACGAACGAUCCUUCCGCUCGACUUGAGCCAAUCGGCGGAUACAAGUUGGGUAUGUAGACGCGGUUGAAUAUACGUAUACCUAUAUAACAAACAGUUAUACCAUCCUGCGACGAAACCGGGACAUUAAUUACACGUGGCGUUUGUCAGAGGCAAAACUUAUGAUCGUCGUCGUGUGUCAAUGACCACCGUGACCCUGUUUAUUACAUCUACGUACACAUUGAACGUAUAAUUCAUUAUAUGGCAUAUGAUUAUACAAACGGCUCCAAAUCGAAGGCUACAUGAAUGCGCUGUAUAAAAACAAGGACCUUCACGGCCAGAAUGAAGGAGAACGACGCGUGACACAUUUGAGGAUAUUCGAUGUUAUUCAUGGC